RNAcentral lists this ribosomal RNA (280 nucleotides) under uncultured bacterium. Its description in RNAcentral is "partial 16S ribosomal RNA". It matches the Rfam family "Bacterial small subunit ribosomal RNA", at positions 337 to 632 of the family's 1533-position model. The record is from RNAcentral.
GCCUACGGGGCGCAGCAGUGGGGAAUAUUGCACAAUGGGGGGAACCCUGAUGCAGCGACGCCGCGUGGGCGAGGAAGUAUUUCGGUAUGUAAAGCCCUAUCGGCAGGGAAGAAGAAAUGACGGUACCUGAAGAAGAAGCCCCGGCUAACUACGUGCCAGCAGCCGCGGUAAUACGUAGGGGGCAAGCGUUAUCCGGAUUUACUGGGUGUAAAGGGGGCGCAGACGGCGAUGCAAGCCAGGAGUGAAAGCCCGGGGCCCAACCCCGGGACUGCUCUUGGGA